Long non-coding RNA from Cervus elaphus (red deer), 142 nucleotides. RefSeq lists it as uncharacterized. The record is from RefSeq and is a predicted model, not a curated record. The transcript is spliced from 3 exons. NCBI's taxonomy places the organism in Eukaryota, Metazoa, Chordata, Mammalia, Artiodactyla, Cervidae.
GCAAGAAAUAAGUAUUGAAAUAAAAAAUAUAAAGUGAGAAAUGUGCAUUAAAAUUAUGUAUAGCAUAAUCACAUUUAUUUAAGAAUGGAUUCCAAGAUCAAAGGCAAAUUCAACAAUGCAAAAGCUGCAAUUACUUUUGUAC